Lytechinus variegatus (green sea urchin) is the source of this 4662-nucleotide long non-coding RNA. RefSeq lists it as uncharacterized. The record is from RefSeq and is a predicted model, not a curated record. NCBI's taxonomy places the organism in Eukaryota, Metazoa, Echinodermata, Echinoidea, Temnopleuroida, Toxopneustidae. The transcript is spliced from 2 exons.
AUAGAGUAGGAUGCCUACCGUAUUCUAUCUCGUUCUUUAAAAAGUGUCACAAAUAGCAAGCAACGUUUAUUUUGCAAUUCGUAACACUUUUUCCUCAAGAACGAGAUAGAAUACGGUUGGCAUCCUACUUUACUUCCACAAUAGUCUGUAAUUUUAGGUAUGUCUUCACCAUUAAUAUAAUUAUUAAUUUAAUCGAAUUGAUUAUUUGUUAUUAAUCAAUUAAUGUAUUCAUUCAAUCCAUUCAUUCAUCUAUCUAAUGAGAUUACGGAAUAUAUUCAACUUAAUGAUACCGUAAUUCAUUGAUGUGCAAGACAAACUUGGAUGUUGUAUCUCCUUAUAUUUUUCAGACGCUUCUGACGAAGUCUUAAAAAAGCUAAAGCUAAGAAUCCUGUGUCAUCUUUUGAGUUGACCUCAUCUAAUAUAUAUAUAUAUAUAUAUAUAUAUAUAUAUAUAUAUAUAUAUAUAUAUAUACAUGAAUAUAUAUAUAUAUAAUUGCUACUCUGUUGUUUUCAUCAAUUCAUGGACUGCCUCAAAGAUGCAUAAGAAAUACGUAUAUGAUACUAACUUUCAGUUGAUUUAAGUUAAAUUAAUGAACUUAAACACUUAAACAUGAACGCACUCCUUAGCGAUAUGUAAACCACAAAAUGGAUUACAACGAAAUGGACACAUCAUAAAUUCAGUCUUACUGGGCCCCAACCCGGGCCCCAACGUGUUUUGUAAGUACGUAACUAUUAUGUUAAAACACUGAGCUCAUAUCCAGUCAUAACUGAAUUAAAGGUGAAGGUUUUGGGAUUAAAUAAUAUACAUCUAGAAUGAGAAAACAAAUUUCGAUCAAAAAUCUUAAUGCGCAUGUUUAUAUUUAUAUGAUUGAAACAAGAUGUAUACUAGAAAAUCAACUUUCCUCUGCUAACGAGAUUAAGAGCUUUUGAUUAAAGGUCCACAGUAGGACAGUUUCAUUUGCUAAGCUAUAAAUCAUUGCUUUCGUGUAAUAGUUUUUGAGAGUUUGAAGUAGAGAUAAUUCACUGCCCUAACAUCUUGUACUUUGAAUGUUUAUUAACUAAAAUGGGACAUAUGAAUAGUCUCUAAUGUUCUCACAGGUUGCCUAGAAAACUAAGCAAAUAUACUACUUAUUUAAUAUAAUACUAAAUGGAGUCACUUCCAAAGUUCAAAAAUCAGAUUUUACGAUAUCAGAUGUUAUAGGGUUAUUAGGAAUGUAAUGAUAUAACGGUACUGUGGAACUGUUGAGUGUUUUCUAGUAAACAAACUUGUCAGUAAAAGCAUCGCACCAAGGAAUGAACUUUUCAGUAAUAACCACUUGCAGCUGAGCAUUACUUUUAAAAAAAUCACUGAUUGGUGUCACAAUAUGAAUGUAUGCAAGUAUUGAUGUAGACCCUUCAGGAGAGUCGAGUUGUUCCUGGUUUUUAGUUCUAAAACUUUCUUAGUCGUCAUGUAAAGUCAGCAAGUCCGGUUUCGCUGUUUUGUUUCAUUUCAUUUUGAAAUAUUUUUCGAUAGCCUAUAUUCGGCAAGACACAAUUUAUGGAGCUAUGAAAUUAGAAACACGCUUUUUCAGUACUCGUGUCAAAAUCCUGGGGGCGGGGGAGGGGCGCCCUCAGUUUGGAAUUAAAAAAGACACCAAUCAAUUAUUUUUUUUCUCAAAGUGUUUGGCCAUGGAGUUUAUGACAAGUUGUAUAUGAUAAUAAUACAAAUAAUUCUAAUAAUAAUGCCUGUUCUCCCAGUGGGCUCUGCUUACUAUGAAAGACCUACUGUUAUGAUUCUUAUUAAUCUACAUUUGUAAUUAUAAUCAAGGGCAUGAAGUAGGUAACCAAUCUAAUGAGAGAAGUUUAACAAUUACUAAAGUUGCCAUAUUAACGUCAUUAUCUCAAACAGACUUGGAUCCAACUACAUUCCCUUGAUGAAAAGCUGUUCCUUGAACCUACCUAUUCACAGAGAAAAUUGCUUAUUUGUAGGCAUCACAACAUGAUGACAAUUCGUAAGGAUGAAAAUAUACAUCAGUAUAAAAUUCACAUUAUUUCAAAUCGUCAGUUUGAAGCAUUAUAAAAAAAACGUGAUAAGGAUGUUCCAGAAAUAUGUAACCGUACAAUACUAUUGGUAUAAGAAACUUAACACACAAUAACAUAUUUUUCAGUGUGUUAAAGUGGUUUAAUUUAAGGACGUGCCUUCAAUUUUCAUUGUUUCUGAAUAUUAAUUUACGACCAGAACAAAUUCUUACGCUAGAAAAGAAGUCAAAAUGUUAUAGCUGUACACAACUUUAAACAAUCGUCUUGUGUGAGAUUUGAGAAUCAUUGAUGAGGUAGGAUAUUUAUCAACCCCCCCCCAAAAAAAAAAUAAAUAAAUAAGUAAUAAUAAAGUAGCACUGCACCCAGAACAAUAAUUCAGGACCAAACACGCAUCUGGCAUAAUUUUGUUGUCACAUUUGCAGUAUGGCAUUUCAUUCAUUCUAAUUCAUGUUCCAAGGAAGGUAAAACAAAAAUUGUUUUAAACUAUAACACCCUUUUGAAAUCACUGUAAUAUUAUUCCAUAAAUCAGAACAUUAUAAUUGAUUUCAUUGUAUGUAUUCAAGUGUUCACUAUUGAUGAAUGUACUAUUGAUGUAUUACUUUUGGUGUUGAGCAUUUUAAAUAAUAUUGGAAUCUUUACUUCAAAUGUGUCAGUAAUGGGUUGAUUUAGAUUAUUUUUGUGAUAUGUACACUUAAAUACAUGCAUUAAUAUGUUCAAAUAUUAUUUUAUUAUGGUUUAGCAGUGUAACUGUAUCAAUUGUAUGUUUGAUAUUAAUGAAGAUUAGAGUGCAAUUGAGAAUCAAUAAUGAAAUCAAAUAUGGAUUGACAAUAAAAAUGGUAAAUUGAAAGACAUUUGGAUGUUCAUAUUUUUGUUUAGAGUCAUGUAAGUCACGAAUAAAAGAUACUGAAGAGAAGGAUUGUGGUGAUGAGAUAAUUAUGUCUGUGGGGGCAUGACAAUUUGCCUUUAUAGCUAGAAUAAAAGAAAGUCUAACAAAGAGAUGAGACAGGUCCUUGACAUCAAGCUUGAUUAUGGAAAGCCAGGGCCACCAUAAUUCAGAUACAAUAUUCCUGUCAGUUCAAAAUGUUCUUUAACCCCAAGUCAGAUGCACUUAGCACUUUAGCACAUUAUUUAUAUACAUUGUCACACAGUCAAAGGUUUGCCUCAGGUAUAAAGCAGGCCUAAAGGCCUGGUCAAUGAAGACUACCCAUUUAGGGCAACAUUUUUAGAUUCAACGUUUAAAAAAAUGGUUUUAGUAACAUGAAUUUUUAAAGAAAUGCUCAUUUACUACCUUUCGUGUGGAAAUGAGAUUGACCUGUCAAGUCAUGCAUGAGUGAGUAAAUGGCUAAAAUGACAAUUCAAAAGUCACAGGGGCCAUUUUGAAGGAUUUAUGAUCCUGAAUUCUGAUAAUUUUUGGAAAUACCAUUGAUUUCAAAUCAUCUAACCUUUGAUGUCCCCUCACACUUUUACACAUGUUUUUACAAGUCUGUGAGCAAAGUCUAAAUAUGAAUUUGUUCAAAAUUACUCAUACAUUGAUCAGUAAAAUAAAUGUGCACAGGUUAUAAAGAUAUGUUGUAACUAACAUGGCCAAGUGAGCACACUUCACAUUAAAAUAAAGGGGUAGAUUUCACCAAUUACUCUCAUUUUGGUUCAAAAUGAUAAGAAAAGUGACAAUUGGUUUACUCAUGCAUGACUGGGGAUAAAUAAUAGUCUGUCACAGAAAUUAGCCAGUAAGUUUAGAAACACUCCUGUCAAAUUUAUCUUCAUCAAAAUGGUUCCGUUAUGAAAUUGUGGUAAUUUAUAAAAGGGGAUAAUUACUUUUGGUCGUGUCCAGAUGGAAUCUAAACUAUACACGGUAAAAUUAAUGUCUCCACCAUUGUCAGAUCAGAAGUAUAUAUUGCAAAUUUGAUACCAUGAAAUCUUGUGAUUUCCCAGUUGGAUUAGAUAAUCUUUGCCUUCAUAUGCAUAUAAAUUUCACCACUCCAUUUUACCAUUGUCACUACAGUCAUAUUUUAAUUUCUUUUCUAGUCAUACAUAGAAAGCUCUUUGAAAUGUACAAUUGUUUUUAUUUAAUUAUUUUGCAUAUAGAAAAUAGAAAUAAUAACCAAUGUUUGGAGGUAAUCUAUCAAGCAUUUCUUAAUUUAUUGUGAGAACAAGAUAUUUGUAAGUACAUGACCUUUGACCUUUUGAUACCAAAAAUCUAAUUAGAUUGUUCCUCCUAUAUGUGUAAAAUAGCCUACUUUUUUAUUGGUCUUUUGUCAUAAAUGGUAGAUGGAGGGGAAGAGUAUACAGAAAAACUAGACUAUAAUUACUUUUCAAACUACAAGACAUACAGGCUUUUUCAUUUUUAAUAUGAAGACAUCUUUAUUACAAAAUAUAUAAAUACAAACAAAAAAAUGGCAUAAUUUGGUUUUAACUGCCAUGAUACAUUUGUAAUACAGCAAAAAAAAUUGAGACAUUUUACUUGUCCUUACAUAUCCUGACAUACAUCUUACUGGUCUGACAAGAUUGGAAUAAGUUUAAACAAGGAAAUGAAACAAAGGCGACCCAUAUUCAGAACCUGUGUUAAGUGUAAACCGAAGGUGUAAACUCUGGUCCAAUGACUGUGGUCUCUAACAGCAUAUGUUUAAAGCCCAACUAAAACUUU